This is a long non-coding RNA of Herpailurus yagouaroundi (jaguarundi), 944 nucleotides long. RefSeq lists it as uncharacterized. The record is from RefSeq and is a predicted model, not a curated record. The transcript is spliced from 2 exons. NCBI's taxonomy places the organism in Eukaryota, Metazoa, Chordata, Mammalia, Carnivora, Felidae.
GUAAGCGGCCAGUGCACGCACCCACCUCACCUACUUAGCACCAGUGCUCACUUGGGGAGACACGCUGUUUGGAGGCCAUAAGCACAGCAGACACAGACCCGACCGGGAGCGCGUGCACCUGAGCGCGCCUCCGCAUGACCCUGGACAUGACCUUGCUCUGUCCACGUAUCGUGGAAAUUGUUUUAAUGGAAAUGGUUCCUGCGUCAAUUGUAUGGUCUUACACACAAUUGAACAUACAAUUGAACCUCUGAACCAAGGCUGCAAGAGGGCCCUUCAGACUAGACGCCCUGCACCUCCUGGGAGGCUCGCACACGGACGUGGACACAGACAGACGCACGUAGAAACGGACACAGAGACAUGGACAGACUGACGGACACACACGAACAGACACAGGUCUACUGCCAUGUCUCCCCAGGCUCCUCUGGUCGUGGUUUCCCGACCCCGUUGUCCUCAAGGAGGGCUCUGGGACGUGUGCGAGGUCCCUCCGGGAAGGCCUGGAGCCACGGGCUCGGGAGAGUCUUGUCUGGUGGUGGCGUUUCCCAGAUGGCGGUGUAUCUUGUGGCUCAUGUUGAAAGCCGGACACCUGUGCGGGGUAAGUGGCACCGGGCGAGGAAGGCCUUUCUGAUGGGCUUUGUGUUCUUUUGGCCAGAGACAGGCUGCGCUUGCCGGUGGCCUCGGCACCAGGGCUCAGAGGCCGUGUCGUCUCCCCUUCUGGCUCUGGGCGUCCCUGUGUCUGCAGGCGGCCACACGUGCGGGACGGAGCGUCUGGGACCUUUCCUCCGGGGCACGGUGUCCCACACUCAGCCCAGGCCUGCCCUGAUGGGGACCAGUCACCGUGGGGACCGAGCCCUCCUCUCAGGUGGAGGCGUUUGCAUCCUCACCAGGAGAACCUGGUAUGGUUCCUGGAGGCAAAACCGUGAAGAUGCGGAGUCUGUCCUUGCUCA